RNAcentral lists this ribosomal RNA (403 nucleotides) under uncultured bacterium. RNAcentral's name for it is "partial 16S ribosomal RNA". It matches the Rfam family "Bacterial small subunit ribosomal RNA", at positions 30 to 526 of the family's 1533-position model. The record is from RNAcentral.
AUUGAACGCUGGCGGCAGGCCUAACACAUGCAAGUCGAGCGAGCGGCGGACGGGUGAGUAAUGUAUGGGGACUGCCCGAUAGAGGGGGAUAACUACUGGAAACGGUGGCUAAUACCGCAUACUAUCGGAUAACCCAUAUGGGAUUAGCUAGUAGGUGGGGUAAAGGCUCACCUAGGCGACGAUCUCUAGCUGGUCUGAGAGGAUGAUCGGCCACAUGGGGACUGAGACACGGCCCAGACUCCUACGGAGGCAGCGUGGGGGACUAUUCGACAAUGGGCGAAAGCCUGAUGCAGCAAGGCCGCGUGUAUGAAGAAGGCCUUAGGGUUGUAAAGUACUUUCAGCGGGGAGGCGUUACCCGAAGAAGAAGCAACGGCUAACUCCGUGCCAGCAGCCGCGGUAAUAC